This 822-nucleotide ribosomal RNA is filed under the name Panaeolus semiovatus. RNAcentral's name for it is "partial 25S large subunit ribosomal RNA". It matches the Rfam family "Eukaryotic large subunit ribosomal RNA", at positions 73 to 881 of the family's 3401-position model. The record is from RNAcentral. Lineage: Eukaryota; Fungi; Basidiomycota; Agaricomycetes; Agaricales.
GAUUCCCCUAGUAACUGCGAGUGAAGCGGGAAAAGCUCAAAUUUAAAAUCUGGCAGUCUUUGAUUGUCCGAGUUGUAAUCUAGAGAAGCAUUAUCCGCGCUGGACCGUGUACAAGUCUCCUGGAAUGGAGCGUCAUAGAGGGUGAGAAUCCCGUCUUUGACACGGACUGCCAGGGCUUUGUGAUGUGCUCUCAAAGAGUCGAGUUGUUUGGGAAUGCAGCUCAAAAUGGGUGGUAAAUUCCAUCUAAAGCUAAAUAUUGGCGAGAGACCGAUAGCGAACAAGUACCGUGAGGGAAAGAUGAAAAGAACUUUGGAAAGAGAGUUAAACAGUACGUGAAAUUGCUGAAAGGGAAACGCUUGAAGUCAGUCGCGUUGUCCGGGAAUCAACCUUGCUUUUGCUGGGCGUACUUCCUGGUUAACGGGUCAGCAUCAAUUUUGAUCGUUGGAUAAAGUGUUUGGGAAUGUGGCAUCUUCGGAUGUGUUAUAGCCCAGAUUCGCAUACAACGGUUGGGAUUGAGGAACUCAGCACGCCGAAAGGCCGGGUUUUUAACCACGUUCGUGCUUAGGAUGCUGGCAUAAUGGCUUUAAUCGACCCGUCUUGAAACACGGACCAAGGAGUCUAACAUGCCUGCGAGUGUUUGGGUGGAAAACCCGAGCGCGUAAUGAAAGUGAAAGUUGAGAUCCCUGUCGUGGGGAGCAUCGACGCCCGGACUUGAACUUCUGUGACGGAUCCGCGGUAGAGCAUGUAUGUUGGGACCCGAAAGAUGGUGAACUAUGCCUGAAUAGGGUGAAGCCAGAGGAAACUCUGGUGGAGGCUCGUAGC